CCUACGGGUGGCAGCAGUGAGGAAUAUUGGUCAAUGGCCGCAGGGCUGAACCAGCCAAGUCGCGUGCGGGAUGACGGCCCUACGGAUUGUAAACCUCUUUUGUCAGGGAGUAAAGGGCCCCACGUGUGGCGUUUUGCGAGUACCUGAAGAAAAAGGACCGGCUAAUUCCGUGCCAGCAGCCGCGGUAAUACGGAGGAUGCGAGCGUUAUCCGGAUUUAUUGGGUUUAAAGGGGGCGAGGGCGGAAUGUCAAGGUAGCGGGAAAAUUUCGGGGUCCAACCCCGUCGUGCCGUGGAAACUGGCGUUCUUGAGUGCGCGAGAAGUAUGCGGAAUGCGUGGUGUAGCGGUGAAAUGCAUAGAUAUGACGCAGAACUCCGAUUGCGAAGGCAGCAUACCGGCGCUCAACUGACGCUCAUGCACGAAAGCGUGGGUAUCGAACAGGAUUAGAUACCCUUGUAGUC
Molecule: ribosomal RNA, 459 nt
Filed under: uncultured bacterium
Lineage: Bacteria
Description: partial 16S ribosomal RNA
Rfam family: Bacterial small subunit ribosomal RNA
Source: RNAcentral